RNAcentral lists this ribosomal RNA (501 nucleotides) under uncultured bacterium. Its description in RNAcentral is "partial 16S ribosomal RNA". It matches the Rfam family "Bacterial small subunit ribosomal RNA", at positions 28 to 523 of the family's 1533-position model. The record is from RNAcentral.
GAUGAACGCUGGCGGCAGGCUUAACACAUGCAAGUCGAGCGGAGAUGAGGUGCUUGCACCUUAUCUUAGCGGCGGACGGGUGAGUAAUGCUUAGGAAUCUGCCUAUUAGUGGGGGACAACAUUCCGAAAGGAACGCUAAUACCGCAUACGUCCUACGGGAGAAAGCAGGGGAUCUUCGGACCUUGCGCUAAUAGAUGAGCCUAAGUCGGAUUAGCUAGUUGGUGGGGUAAAGGCCUACCAAGGCGACGAUCUGUAGCGGGUCUGAGAGGAUGAUCCGCCACACUGGGACUGAGACGCGGCCCAGACUCCUACGGUAGGCAGCAGUGGGGAAUAUUGGACAAUGGGGGGAACCCUGAUCCAGCCAUGCCGCGUGUGUGAAGAAGGCCUUAUGGUUGUAAAGCACUUUAAGCGAGGAGGAGGCUCUUUUGGUUAAUACCCAAGAUGAGUGGACGUUACUCGCAGAAUAAGCACCGGCUAACUCUGUGCCAGCAGCCGCAGUAA